GCGACUCACUAUUGUAAGUCGCUUUGGACAAAAGCGUCUGCCAAAUGUUAUUUA
Molecule: regulatory RNA element, 54 nt
Organism: Astyanax mexicanus (Mexican tetra)
Lineage: Eukaryota; Metazoa; Chordata; Actinopteri; Characiformes; Acestrorhamphidae
Rfam family: UnaL2 LINE 3' element
About the family: The eel long interspersed element (LINE) UnaL2 and its partner short interspersed element (SINE) share a conserved 3' tail containing a stem-loop that is critical for their retrotransposition. Presumably, the first step of retrotransposition is the recognition of their 3' tails by UnaL2-encoded reverse transcriptase.
Source: Rfam